RNAcentral lists this ribosomal RNA (705 nucleotides) under Salmonella enterica. RNAcentral's name for it is "partial 23S ribosomal RNA". It matches the Rfam family "Bacterial large subunit ribosomal RNA", at positions 711 to 1328 of the family's 2925-position model. Lineage: Bacteria; Pseudomonadati; Pseudomonadota; Gammaproteobacteria; Enterobacterales; Enterobacteriaceae. RNAcentral also lists the same sequence under 1 other name. The record is from RNAcentral.
AGACCCGAAACCCGGUGAUCUAGCCAUGGGCAGGUUGAAGGUUGGGUAACACUAACUGGAGGACCGAACCGACUAAUGUUGAAAAAUUAGCGGAUGACCUGUGGCUGGGGGUGAAAGGCCAAUCAAACCGGGAGAUAGCUGGUUCUCCCCGAAAGCUAUUUAGGUAGCGCCUCGUGAAUUCAUCUCCGGGGGUAGAGCACUGUUUCGGCUAGGGGGCCAUCCCGGCUUACCAACCCGAUGCAAACUGCGAAUACCGGAGAAUGUUAUCACGGGAGACACACGGCGGGUGCUAACGUCCGUCGUGAAGAGGGAAACAACCCAGACCGCCAGCUAAGGUCCCAAAGUCAUGGUUAAGUGGGAAACGAUGUGGGAAGGCCCAGACAGCCAGGAUGUUGGCUUAGAAGCAGCCAUCAUUUAAAGAAAGCGUAAUAGCUCACUGGUCGAGUCGGCCUGCGCGGAAGAUGUAACGGGGCUAAACCAUGCACCGAAGCUGCGGCAGCGAACGUAUCACCCAAGACAACUUUACGGAGUUGACGAUUGACGGAGCGAAGCGACGUCAAAGCGUUCAUUAAAGUCGAGUUGGCUUAGGGAUACGUUCGUUGGGUAGGGGAGCGUUCUGUAAGCCUGCGAAGGUGGCCUGUGAGGGUUGCUGGAGGUAUCAGAAGUGCGAAUGCUGACAUAAGUAACGAUAAAGCGGGUGAAAAG